GUCAUUCCAACACCACGCUCUUUUCUAAGACAUUUCACACUUAAGCUGUGGUCCUAUUUCCCCAACAGCUGGACUUUCUGUGCCAUAAAUCAAUGCUUUGUCUUUUUCUUAUUACGUUUGCCCAAAGGGGUAUCUGUAGCCCUUUUUAAUAUUUCCAGCAAUAUCUUUACACCACAGAGCAGAGAAUAAGAAAAAACAAAACAAAACAGUGAGUCAUGCAGGUUUGGAUCUCAUCGCUACCAUAGACUGUUGGAGUUUCAAGGGUGGAGAUCCGCCAUUGCUUUUUCCAUAUCCGCAGAAAUUCCUUUCACAUGAAAUGUGAGUCUGUUGGGUUCCCCCCCGAGACCAGCGGUGGAAGAAGAAGCUGGAGGUGGCUGAUGAGACACUUCAUGCUGGACCAAGAAACGGGGACUCGGGGUUGAGUCCACAUGUGCCAUUUGUGGGGACGCCGUGCAUUCCCCAGUUUGCCGCUCUCUGUUUCAAAUUCUUUCACUCGAUGCUGUUGUGGGCAUGAAGUCAAAGCAGGCAUGUGUGAGACAGUGCUUUGUAAAACAUAAGGCACGGAACAAGUUUAGAACAGGAAGAGUUGAAGCUGGAUUGACGCAAUUACCAAAAAUAAAAUUAGCUGAGGGUGUC
This 636-nucleotide long non-coding RNA is filed under the name Homo sapiens (human). RNAcentral describes it as "HSALNT0049668". Lineage: Eukaryota; Metazoa; Chordata; Mammalia; Primates; Hominidae. The record is from RNAcentral.